AAAAUCAUUAAAAAAACAUAAAUCUACAUUUAUUUCAUUCUACCUAGCCUCUCUUCUACCGACAUGCUCGUAUUCCCAAAUGGUAAAUCUU
RNAcentral lists this small RNA (91 nucleotides) under Arabidopsis thaliana (thale cress). RNAcentral describes it as "ATSL065110". Lineage: Eukaryota; Viridiplantae; Streptophyta; Magnoliopsida; Brassicales; Brassicaceae. The record is from RNAcentral.